GGUGGCUCAGCGGUAGAGCGCUUGCCUUACAUGCUUGAGAACCUGGGUUCAAUUCCUCAGCACCA
This 65-nucleotide transfer RNA is filed under the name Dipodomys ordii (Ord's kangaroo rat). It matches the Rfam family "tRNA". From Rfam's summary of the family: Transfer RNA (tRNA) molecules are approximately 80 nucleotides in length. Lineage: Eukaryota; Metazoa; Chordata; Mammalia; Rodentia; Heteromyidae. The record is from Rfam by way of RNAcentral.